AUUUUUAACCGCAGUACCAGUCGUACAAUUCUCUUAAAGCCGCUAGAAACCGCAACCGCCCGCAUCCACAAACUCCCGCAACCGCAACCGCUGCGUUUGAACCAGUCAGGCCCUAAGCAUGCUCUAAGACUGAUUAUAUAUACAUAAACUAAAAAUUAAAAAUAUUUAAUCGUAAACUAUAAAAUAUAAACAAUACAUAAUAUGUCAAGACCCAACAUUAUAAGAGAUUUCAAAAAAUCAGUUAUAAUCAAGAAAAUCAGACAUUUAUAAUAUAUUUUCCCAAAAUUACAAACCUUAAACCUAUUCUCGUACCUAUCUCCAAACAUACUACUGAACCUUAAAUAAUUCUUAAAUUGAUUCAAUAUGCUAAGUUUCCAAAUCUAUUUUUCAAACCUAAUUAAUCCCAAACAUUAAGACUAACAUAUAAAUCUUAUUCCUAAACCCUAAACACUAUGCUCUAGACCCUAAACACUAAAUCACAAAACUAAACACCAAAUAUAAUCUUUUCAAAUAUCAAACAUAAGCUACAAAUAUAAAUUAUUCAAAUUUUAAUCUUAUAUGUUAACUUAAAUCUCAAACCAUAUAAUCCAAACUCUAAAUCAUAAAACUCUAAACUAAUAAUGUAUUUUGAAAAGUUAGAUAUAUGAUUAAAAGGUUAACAUUUAAAUGUAACCCUUAAACUUCAAUUCCUAAUGAAAAUGCGUAAAGAAAAUAACAAUCGAUUUUAGUUAAAAGUUAUGACAAAUGACUGAAAAGGUAAAAAUAGUGGAAUAUUGUCAUUGGUUGAAUUCUUAAACACAUGGAUCACUCUUUUCUACCGUAGAUAAAGUUUGAUCCAACGCUCAGAUCUUCUCCUUAGUGUGUUUCUUUCUUCCCUUAUCUUAUUCUCAACCUUUAAUUCUCUGUCUUUCCUCUGCCAUCUUAUCCUAACAAUUACUUCUCUUUUUCUUCAUAUACAGAAUCAAAUUUCUUAAUUUGUAUAUGUUAAGUUUCCCAUCGCAUCUUUUAGAGAUGCCUCACAUCUGCAAUGGAAUUCUUUCCGGGAGACAUGUUUAGAAUCGAAGGUGGAUGAGGCAGAAGAAGAUGAUGUUUGGUGGUAAAGAGGAACCUUGUGGUGGAGCGCGAAUCCAUUUCUAUCUCUCCCGGUCUCGUGAUUCCUCUCAGCUUCAAGCCAUCUGGGUUUGUGGUGCUCGUUGACCUUUACGGCUGCUCUGAAUCCGGCUCAUGAGAAUCGCUUUGGCCUGAGACAACGAGACAUGCUUAAGAGAAUCCAAGUGAAGAGGCGGCGGAGAAAUGCAUAGAAGAUAGACCAUUGUUUUAGGUUUAGUUUUUUUUUUUUAAUUUGGUUUAUUUUUAUAAACCAAAUUAGUUUAUAAAACAAAAAUUUUAUUGGUAAAAGAGUUUUUUUUUUCCUGUAAACUAAUUUUUUAUAUAUAAAUAUAUAUUCUAUAAAGAACAAAAAAAAAUAUAUAUAUAUAUAUUCUAUUUUUUUAAUUUGGUGAUUUAUAUUUUUUUGAAAUAAUUGUAUUAGCCACAAUUUAUAAUGUGACAUUUUGUGGCUAAAAUGACUACAAAUAUUGUUUGGAGCUA
This is a long non-coding RNA of Brassica napus (rape), 1590 nucleotides long. RefSeq lists it as uncharacterized. The transcript has 2 exons. The record is from RefSeq and is a predicted model, not a curated record. NCBI's taxonomy places the organism in Eukaryota, Viridiplantae, Streptophyta, Magnoliopsida, Brassicales, Brassicaceae.